UGUCCCCCACCCUGACGGUGCCACCAGCAGCUGCCUGCUUGGCCCCUUGAGGUGUUUGAGAAGCAUCAGCUGGGAGGGGCUCUGCCCCAGGGAGGGCGGUGGGCGGGAACAGCUGAGGAGUGCCGGCCGGGAAGUGGAGAGGCAUUGGAGGCCCGUUCCCAGCCUGUUCAUUCGUGACUAAAUCUGGGUCACCUCCCGGCGCAGAGGCAAGCCGGCGGCGCCCGGACGCCCCUUCCUACGGGAAGCCCUCCUAGAUGCCCCCCCUGGGAGGGCCCCCUCCACACCCACGGCGCUUGUCUUGUGCAUCUGGGGUGUCUUCCCCCCGCCUGCCGCGUAGGGACCCUGUGGGGAGCAGGGGGCGGCGGGUGGGUGUGGGUCGUGGGGCUGAUGCGUGCUUGCAGCGCUAGCUCACCCAUCCCGGAAUGCCGGACUGGGUCGUGCCGUCGUCCUGCGGUCCCGCCUCCGCCACGCCGUGGUCCUCGGGGCAAAGCCGCAGCCCUGGACCGGGCACGCAUCUGUGCUCCCGUGGGACCAGCCUUCCUGCUCUGCUUCCUGUUUGCUAGAACCUUCGAGCACGUGCUGUGUCUGCCCUGAAACCUCCCUCCCGACGGCCCUGCAGCCGCUCUGCGGCCCCUCCCCACCCCGCGUGGGGGUCGCCAUCGCCCUCGCCCCCACUCACCCCCUGAGUCUGCCCUUCCUUCUGAGGCUCUACGUCCACGGGUGGUUCGCUGGUGGGGCCCCUGUCCCAACCCCCGACCGGGGCCCGACUCUGCGUCCGCGGGGGUCCCAGGGGCUGUGGCCACCGCACCGCAGGUCUUCACACACGGAGGAUCGUGGCUGAGGGCGGGGGUGGGGGCUUCUGGGGGCUGCCACGUCCCGCCGCGUCCUCCCUGGGUGACCUCUGGGGGUCUCCUGCGUGGGCACGGGGCGGGGGGUGACAGCUGGGCCCGGCCACAGGGUGGGAGGACCGGGCCUGGGGAGGUGCUCUGCCCGACUUGGUGCGGGGGCGGGGGAGACGCUGCCCCUUGGCUGCACUGGCCGGAACUGCGGCCCUGCGAGAGGACCUAGGCCGUGGGGGAGGCCUUGUGCUUGGGGGUACCCCCGCAGGCUGGGGGGGAGGCCGGGGCCAGCACUGGGAGGCGACGGGCAGGUGGAGCUGGGGUGGGGGCCGGGGUGUCUCCCCGGACAGACUGUGCUGCCGCAGGGGCGGAUAAAGAGUUAAGGGCCGAGGGAAGUAAUAAUGUUUCUAAUUUUCCCCUGUGAUUUAAUAAAAAUGUAGAUCACUGGGCGGAGGACGCCCUGGCUGGCCGUGGUGUUGACCGAGGUGAACUGUGGGCUUGGGGUGGCCGGCCUGCCUUUGUCUGCCCCCCACGCAGAGCGGGGUGCCGCCAUCCCGGGAGGCCGGGCGGUGAGGGGCGACACCGCGCCCUCCGCCCCGAUGGACGGGUGCUGGGGGGCGGGGGACGGCCCUCACGGUGUCUGGGUGUCUGCUGAACGCGGGGCCCCCGGGGGAACUGCUCGGAGCUGGGCUCCCCUCUGACUGCCCCACCCCCACGUCCAGAGGAGAGCGGGGCCUGCGGUGACGAUGGCCGCAUCCUGGACUUCUGCACGCAGG
Long non-coding RNA from Cervus elaphus (red deer), 1615 nucleotides. RefSeq lists it as uncharacterized. The record is from RefSeq and is a predicted model, not a curated record. NCBI's taxonomy places the organism in Eukaryota, Metazoa, Chordata, Mammalia, Artiodactyla, Cervidae. The transcript has 3 exons.